RNAcentral lists this ribosomal RNA (223 nucleotides) under uncultured bacterium. RNAcentral's name for it is "partial 16S ribosomal RNA". It matches the Rfam family "Bacterial small subunit ribosomal RNA", at positions 524 to 744 of the family's 1533-position model. The record is from RNAcentral.
CACGUAGGGUGCGAGCGUUGUCCGGAAUUAUUGGGCGUAAAGAGCUCGUAGGCGGUGUGUCGCGUCGGCCGUGAAAACCUGCAGCUUAACUGUGGGCUUGCGGUCGAUACGGGCAUCACUGGAGUUCGGCAGGGGAGGACUGGAAUUCCUGGUGUAGCGGUGAAAUGCGCAGAUAUCAGGAGGAACACCGGUGGCGAAGGCGGGUCUCUGGGCCGUAACUGAC